CAACAUGUGUUGUAAAAGCCUUUUGCUCAUCUUGCGCAGAGUUUCGCAUCAACGAUGAUAAAUUUCUAAAAUAAUUUUAAGGUGCUAAAGUCUAUUUGUAGCGUCCCAGAGAUGACGUCUGUUGACAUUUGAACCUUAGAUUCCGAAACACUGGACCGGGGUCCUUAGCGGGUCCAAUGGCAGCUGGCCCAACCUGUCUACAUGAGCUUUAUAGAGUUGGCGAAGGCAUUAAGCCCUGUCUCUCCAGGUGUCCUGUAAAGUACUGUUCUGCAGUAUUGGCGGACACUUUGAUAUGUGUUCUUUGGUCCAUGUACAACUUCUGUGAGAGUUUCAUUUACACUGCUGACGGUAAUUUGUUUCCAGUGAGGGUUUACCUCAUUCAAGGCUGCUCUUUGUAACCAUUUUUGUUAAUAGUUUCAGGGGUGUGGUCAUACCCUUCCCGUGUGCGCAACCUGGCAGCAGCUCCUCACCUGCGCCUCAUUGAGGAUAAUUAUGUCAUGUAUUUAAGCCUUGUGUGUCAUGUCUUGGGUUGCCAGUUUGUUGUGUGAGUUUAGCAUGAGUUUACAAGCUUCUUGUGAGUAAUUGCCUCAUUACCGCGUCCCAGUCUUGGUUUUCCCUUGUAGUUAUCUAACCUCGUUUUGAUGUUUUUGGACCUUGCCUUCUGCCACGUGUUUUUCUGCUUCUGCCUUUACGGACAGCUUACCUGGAAAACAAGCUUCCUCUGUACAAUAUUAAAUUCCUCAUAUCUGUGAAAAGUGUCUUAUCUUGGACAAUAAGGGCCUGUUGUCCUGCGCUUAAUUUACUGAUGCGUGAUGGGGACUGAAGUCAACACACGAAUUUGUGAUCUUCUGAGCUACUAUCAAAAGCCCAACAGAGUUUCAGGACAAGACAGAAAAUAACAGCCCCACCCCGCCGAGGAGGCCAGCAGUGGAAACUGGAAGCGAAACAACGCCGAAACUCCUGAUGCACACACUUAUCCAAACACUUAUAAACUUUCACAGAAAAUACCUCCCUCCAACAACAACAACAACAAAAAUAGAACAAGAAAAAAAGACAUUUUCAAAAGUUCUGACUCCAAACCAACCACUCACACAGAGGAGCCCCAACAA
Syngnathoides biaculeatus (alligator pipefish) is the source of this 1109-nucleotide long non-coding RNA. RefSeq lists it as uncharacterized. The transcript has 4 exons. The record is from RefSeq and is a predicted model, not a curated record. NCBI's taxonomy places the organism in Eukaryota, Metazoa, Chordata, Actinopteri, Syngnathiformes, Syngnathidae.